CAGCAGUCGCCGCGGGAAUACGAAGGGGGCUAGCGUUGCUCGGAAUCACUGGGCGUAAAGGGUGCGUAGGCGGGUCUUUAAGUCAGGGGUGAAAUCCUGGAGCUCAACUCCUGAACUGCCUUUGAUACUGAAGAUCUUGAGUUCGGGAGAGGUGAGUGGAACUGCGAGUGUAGAGGUGAAAUUCGUAGAUAUUCGCAGGAACACCAGUGGCGAAGGCGGCUCACUGGCCCGAUACUGACGCUGAGGCACGAAAGCGUGGGGAGCAAACAGGAUUAGAUACCCCGGUAGUCCCUGUCUCUUAUAC
This 304-nucleotide ribosomal RNA is filed under the name uncultured bacterium. RNAcentral describes it as "partial 16S ribosomal RNA". It matches the Rfam family "Bacterial small subunit ribosomal RNA", at positions 509 to 807 of the family's 1533-position model. The record is from RNAcentral.